CCGGCGUGGAGGUAGGAAGGACCCACCGGGUUCGUGAAACUUCUUUUCCCGGAGAAGAAGCAAUGACGGUAUCUGGGGAAUAAGCAUCGGCUAACUCUGUGC
This 102-nucleotide ribosomal RNA is filed under the name uncultured bacterium. RNAcentral's name for it is "partial 16S ribosomal RNA". The record is from RNAcentral.